ACCCGCUGAACUUAAGCAUAUCAAUAAGCGGAGGAAAAGAAACUAACAAGGAUUCCCCUAGUAACUGCGAGUGAAGCGGGAAAAGCUCAAAUUUAAAAUCUGGUGGUUCUUGCAGCCAUCCGAAUUGUAAUUUAGAGAAGUGUUAUCCGCGCUGGACCGUGUAUAAGUCUCCUGGAAUGGAGCGUCAUAGAGGGUGAGAAUCCCGUCUUUGACACGGACUACCAGGGCUUUGUGAUGCGCUCUCGAAGAGUCGAGUUGUUUGGGAAUGCAGCUCAAAAUGGGUGGUAAAUUCCAUCUAAAGCUAAAUAUUGGCGAGAGACCGAUAGCGAACAAGUACCGUGAGGGAAAGAUGAAAAGAACUUUGGAAAGAGAGUUAAACAGUACGUGAAAUUGUUGAAAGGGAAACGCUUGAAGUCAGUCGCGUUGUCUGGGGAUCAACCUUGCUCUUUUGCUUGGUGUACUUCCUAGUCGACGGGUCAACAUCAGUUUUGACUGUUGGAAAAAGAUUAGAGGAAUGUGGCAUCUUCGGAUGUGUUAUAGCCUUUGGUUGUAUACAGCAGUUGGGACUGAGGAACUCAGCACGCCGCAAGGCCGGGAUUUAUCCACGUUCGUGCUUAGGAUGUUGGCAUAAUGGCUUUAAUCGACCCGUCUUGAAACACGG
This 661-nucleotide ribosomal RNA is filed under the name uncultured fungus. RNAcentral's name for it is "eukaryotic LSU rRNA". It matches the Rfam family "Eukaryotic large subunit ribosomal RNA", at positions 23 to 664 of the family's 3401-position model. Lineage: Eukaryota; Fungi. The record is from RNAcentral.